This 538-nucleotide ribosomal RNA is filed under the name Guepiniopsis buccina. RNAcentral describes it as "eukaryotic LSU rRNA". It matches the Rfam family "Eukaryotic large subunit ribosomal RNA", at positions 73 to 657 of the family's 3401-position model. The record is from RNAcentral. Lineage: Eukaryota; Fungi; Basidiomycota; Dacrymycetes; Dacrymycetales; Dacrymycetaceae.
GAUUCCCUAGUACUGCGAGUGAAGCGGGAAAAGCUCAAAUUUAAAAUCCUUCGGGAGUUGUAAUCUGUAGAAGUGUUUUCGGUCGUUGCCUCGGAUAAGUCUCUUGGAACAGAGUGUCAUAGAGGGUGAGAAUCCCGUCCUUGCCGAGCUCCCAGCGUCCUUGUGAUACACUUUCAACGAGUCGAGUUGUUUGGGAAUGCAGCUCAAAAUGGGUGGUAAACUCCAUCUAAAGCUAAAUAUUGGCGAGAGACCGAUAGCGAACAAGUACCGUGAGGGAAAGAUGAAAAGAACUUUGGAAAGAGAGUUAAACAGUACGUGAAAUUGUUAAAAGGGAAACGCUUGGAGUCAGUCGCGUUGCAGGGACUCAGCCUUACGGUGUACUUUUCUGCAACGGGUCAACAUCAGUUUCGGCCGCGGGAUAAGAGUCGGGGGAAUGUGGCUCUCUCGGGAGUGUUAUAGCCUCUGGCUGUACACCGCGGCGGGGACUGAGGUCUGCUUAAAGGAUGUUGACGAAAUGGCUCUAAGCGACCCGUCUUGA